UUCUUGGAGAGUUUGAUCCUGGCUCAGAACGAACGCUGGCGGCGUGCUUAACACAUGCAAGUCGAACGAGAAGUACUGUAGCAAUACAGUAUUGUAAAGUGGCGCACGGGUGAGUAACACGUGGGUAAUCUGCCCUCGAGUUUGGGAUAACCCCGCGAAAGCGGGGCUAAUACCGAAUAAGACCACAGGGACCAAAGUCCCCGGGGUAAAAGGUGGCCUCUAUUUAUAAGCUACCACUUGAGGAUGAGCCCGCGGCCCAUUAGCUAGUUGGCGGGGUAAUGGCCCACCAAGGCUAUGAUGGGUAGCUGGUCUGAGAGGACGAUCAGCCACACUGGAACUGAGACACGGUCCAGACUCCUACGGGAGGCAGCAGUGGGGAAUAUUGCGCAAUGGGCGAAAGCCUGACGCAGCAACGCCGCGUGGGGGAUGAAGGUU
This 435-nucleotide ribosomal RNA is filed under the name Nitrospiraceae bacterium. RNAcentral's name for it is "bacterial SSU rRNA". It matches the Rfam family "Bacterial small subunit ribosomal RNA", at positions 1 to 416 of the family's 1533-position model. Lineage: Bacteria; Pseudomonadati; Nitrospirota; Nitrospiria; Nitrospirales; Nitrospiraceae. The record is from RNAcentral.